CUCCAGACUCCUACGGGAGGCAGCAGUGGGGAAUAUUGCACAAUGGGGGAAACCCUGAUGCAGCGACGCCGCGUGAGCGAUGAAGUAUUUCGGUAUGUAAAGCUCUAUCAGCAGGGAAGAAGAUGACGGUACCUGACUAAGAAGCCCCGGCUAACUACGUGCCAGCAGCCGCGGUAAUACGUAGGGGGCAAGCGUUAUCCGGAUUUACUGGGUGUAAAGGGAGCGUAGACGGCGAUGCAAGCCAGAUGUGAAAGCCCGGGGCUCAACCCCGGGACUGCAUUUGGAACUGUGUGGCUGGAGUGUCGGAGAGGCAGGCGGAAUUCCUAGUGUAGCGGUGAAAUGCGUAGAUAUUAGGAGGAACACCAGUGGCGAAGGCGGCCUGCUGGACGAUGACUGACGUUGAGGCUCGAAAGCGUGGGGAGCAAACAGGAUUAGAUACCCUCGUAA
This 447-nucleotide ribosomal RNA is filed under the name uncultured bacterium. RNAcentral describes it as "bacterial SSU rRNA". It matches the Rfam family "Bacterial small subunit ribosomal RNA", at positions 329 to 793 of the family's 1533-position model. The record is from RNAcentral.